Adelges cooleyi (spruce gall adelgid) is the source of this 390-nucleotide long non-coding RNA. RefSeq lists it as uncharacterized. The transcript is spliced from 4 exons. NCBI's taxonomy places the organism in Eukaryota, Metazoa, Arthropoda, Insecta, Hemiptera, Adelgidae. The record is from RefSeq and is a predicted model, not a curated record.
CGUCAUACGCGCAUUGAACGUUGAACAAUUUUUUUUUUUUUAAUGUUUUAACAAUUUACGAUAAAAUUCAUCAAAUGACAUAUUAUUUCUUUACACCGUACUCAUUCGUCAUACAGCAUUACAAAAUGUUUUAAAACUGAACACAAGGUUGCAGCGUAAUAUUAGGAACCUCAUUUACAGCCGUCAAUUCUUGGGGGUCCUGCUGAAAUACAACAUUUCUUAUUCCUGGAUUUAGACAGUUGUAGUUAUAGAAACUUGAAUAAUGGUAACCGAUUCUUGCAAGUUUUGCUGACUGGCAACAUAUCUUCUGUUUUUAAUUUAAUAAUCGUUCGAGCGACCAAUAUUUGUGACAUUUGCUGAGUGGCUACAAGUCAUCUUUUUUUUAAUUAG